AACGAACGCUGGCGGCAUGCCUAACACAUGCAAGUCGAACGAGACCUUCGGGUCUAGUUGCGCACGGGUGCGUAACGCGUGGGAACCUGCCCUUAGGUUCGGAAUACCUCCCCGUAGGGGGUGCUAAUGCCGGAUAAUGUCUUCGGACCAAGGAUUUAUCGCCUUUGGGUGGGCCCGCGUUGGAUUAGCUAGUUGGUAGGGUAAAAGCCUACCAAGGCGACGCUCCAUAGCUGGUCUGAGAGGAUGAUCAGCCACACUGGGACUGAGACACGGCGCAGACUCCUACGCGAGGGAGCAGUGGGGAAUAUUGGACAAUGGGCGAAAUCCUGAUCCAGCAAUGCCGCGUGAGUGAUGAAGGCCUUAGGGUAGUAAAGCUCUUUUACCCGGGACGAUAAUGACAGUACCGGGAGAAUAAGCACCGGCUAACUCCGUG
This 433-nucleotide ribosomal RNA is filed under the name uncultured bacterium. RNAcentral describes it as "partial 16S ribosomal RNA". It matches the Rfam family "Bacterial small subunit ribosomal RNA", at positions 29 to 507 of the family's 1533-position model. The record is from RNAcentral.